GAUGAACGCUGGCGGCGUGCCUAAUACAUGCAAGUCGAGCGAACAGACGAGGAGCUUGCUCCUCUGACGUUAGCGGCGGACGGGUGAGUAACACGUGGAUAACCUACCUAUAAGACUGGGAUAACUUCGGGAAACCGGAGCUAAUACCGGAUAAUAUAUUGAACCGCAUGGUUCAAUAGUGAAAGACGGUUUUGCUGUCACUUAUAGAUGGAUCCGCGCCGCAUUAGCUAGUUGGUAAGGUAACGGCUUACCAAGGCAACGAUGCGUAGCCGACCUGAGAGGAUGAUCGGCCACACUGGAACUGAGACACGGUCCAGACUCCUACGGGAGGCAGCAGUAGGGAAUCUUCCGCAAUGGGCGAAAGCCUGACGGAGCAACGCCGCGUGAGUGAUGAAGGUCUUCGGAUCGUAAAGCUCUGUUAUUGGGGAAGAACAAAUGUAUAAGUAACUAUGCACGUCUUGACGGUACCUAAUCAGAAAGCCACGGCUAACUACGUG
Molecule: ribosomal RNA, 497 nt
Filed under: uncultured bacterium
Lineage: Bacteria
Description: partial 16S ribosomal RNA
Rfam family: Bacterial small subunit ribosomal RNA
Source: RNAcentral